Molecule: ribosomal RNA, 270 nt
Filed under: uncultured bacterium
Lineage: Bacteria
Description: partial 16S ribosomal RNA
Rfam family: Bacterial small subunit ribosomal RNA
Source: RNAcentral
UACGGAGAGUGCAAGCGUUGUUCGGAAUUAUUGGGCGUAGAGCGCGUGUAGGCGGCUUGAUAAGUCUGGCGUGAAAGCCUGGAGCUCAACUUCAGAAGUGCGCUGGAAACUAUCGAGCUUGAGUACUGGAGGGGAAGGGGAUUCUCGGGUGUAGAGGUGAAAUUCGUAGAUAUCCGGAAGAACAUCAGUGGCGAAGGCGCCUUCCUGGACAGAUACUGACGCUGAGACGCGAAAGCGUGGGGAGCAAACAGGAUUAGAUACCCUGGUAGU